RNAcentral lists this ribosomal RNA (329 nucleotides) under uncultured eukaryote. RNAcentral describes it as "partial 18S ribosomal RNA". It matches the Rfam family "Eukaryotic small subunit ribosomal RNA", at positions 1470 to 1796 of the family's 1831-position model. The record is from RNAcentral.
CCCUUAGAUGUCCUGGGCUGCACGCGCGCUACACUGACGAACUCAACGAGCUUAUCACCUUGGCAGAGAUGUCUGGGUAAUCUUUUGAAAGUUCGUCGUGCUGGGGAUGGAUGAUUGUAAUUAUUCGUCUUGAACGAGGAAUUCCUAGUAAGUGUGAGUCAUCAGCUCGCGCUGAUUACGUCCCUGCCCUUUGUACACACCGCCCGUCGCUCCUACCGAUUGAAUGGUCCGGUGAGGUUCUCGGAUUUUUUCUGUUGUUUGGUUCGCUAAACGAUUGAAGAGAGAAGUUACCCAAACCUUACCAUUUAGAGGAAGGAGAAGUCGUAACA